RNAcentral lists this ribosomal RNA (1193 nucleotides) under uncultured organism. RNAcentral describes it as "bacterial SSU rRNA". It matches the Rfam family "Bacterial small subunit ribosomal RNA", at positions 199 to 1423 of the family's 1533-position model. The record is from RNAcentral.
GAGUAAAGAUUUCGGUCGCUUUGGGAGGAGCUCGCUUACCAUCAGCUUGUUGGUAGGGUAAUGGCCUACCAAGGCUAUGACGGUUAGGGGGUGUGAGAGCAUGACCCCCAGCAUUGGCACUGAAACACUGGCCAAACACCUACGGGUGGCUGCAGUCGAGAAUCUUCCACAAUGGGGGAAACCCUGAUGGAGCGAUGCUGCGUGCGGGAUGAAGGCCUUCGGGUUGUAAACCGCUUUUGUAGGGGACGAAAUUUUUGACGGUACCCUUUCGAAUAAGAGGUUGCUAACUCUGUGCCAGCAGCAGCGGUAAUACAGAGACCUCAAGCGUUAUCCGGAUUUACUGGGCGUAAAGCGUCUGUAGGGGGUUUAUUAAGUUCCAAGUAAAAUUUCAAGGCUCAACUUUGAAUUCGCUUGGAAAACUAAUAAACUGGAGUCUAGCAGAGGUGCAUGGAACUUGUGGUGUAGGAGUGAAAUCCGUUGAUAUCACAAGGAACACCAGAGGCGAAGGCAUUGCACUGGGCUAGCACUGACCCUGAGAGACGAAAGCGUGGGGAGCAAAACGGAUUAGAUACCCGUGUAGUCCACGCCCUAAACGAUGAAUGCUAAAUGUUCGGGGAUUCGACCCCCUGGGUGUUACAGCUAACGCGUUAAGCAUUCCGCCUGGGAAGUACGGCCGCAAGGCUAAAACUCAAAGGAAUAGACGGGGAUCCGCACAAGCGGUGGAGCGUCUGGUUUAAUUCGACAGUAAGCGUGGUACCUCACCAGGGUUUGACAUCCCUUGACAGCCUUGGAAACAAGGUUUCCUUCGGGCAAGGUGACAGGUGCUGCAUGGUCGUCGUCAGUUCGUGCCGUGAGGUGUUCCGUUAAGUCGGGAAACGAACGAAACCCCUAUUGCAUGUUACAAUUUCUCAUGCAAGACUGCCCGGAUAUACUGGGAGGAAGGUGGGGAUGACGUCAGAUCUGCAUGGUCCUUAUACCCUGGGCGACACAGGCGCUACAAUGGCAGAGACAAAGGGUUGCAAAACCGCAAGGUGAAGCUAAUCCCAAAAACUUUGUCUAAGUUCGGAUUGAAGGCUGCAAUUCGCCUUCAUGAAGCUGGAAUCGCUAGUAAUCGUGAAUCAGCCACGUCACGGUGAUAUGUUCCCGGAUCUUGUACUCACCGCCCGUCACACCAAGAGAGUUGGUAGCUCCCG